AGAGUUUGAUCCUGGCUCAGAGCGAACGCUGGCGGCGUGCCUUAUACAUGCAAGUCGAACGAGAACGUCACCUUCGGGUGGCAAGUAAAGUGGCGCACGGGUGAGUAACACGUAGGGAACCUACCCUGGAGUGGGGGACAACGUUCCGAAAGGAACGCUAAUACCGCGUACGAACCACCUGCAUAAGUGGGUGGUUGAAAGGUGCCCUCUCAACGAUGGUGCCGCUCCGGGAUGGCCUUGCGGCCUAUCAGCUAGUUGGUGAGGUAAUGGCUCACCAAGGCGAUGACGGGUAGCUGGUCUGAUAGGACGAUCAGCCACACUGGAACUGGAACACGGUCCAGACUCCUACGGGAGGCAGCAGUAGGGAAUAUUGCGCAAUGGGGGAAACCCUGACGCAGCAACGCCGCGUGAGUGAUGAAGGCCUUCGGGUUGUAAAGCUCUGUCGGAGGGGAAGAAGGGCGUGACGUGAAUAGCGUCGUGUCUUGACGGUACCCUCAAAGGAAGCACCGGCUAACUCCGUGCCAGCAGCCGCGGUAAUACGGAGGGUGCUAGCGUUGCUCGGAAUUACUGGGUGUAAAGCGGGUGUAGGCGGCCUCGUAUGUCGGAUGUGAAAUCCCCUGACUCAAUCAGGGACCUGCAUUCGAAACUGCGGGGCUAGAGUACGGGAGAGGAGAGUGGAAUUCUCAGUGUAGAGGUGAAAUUCGUAGAUAUUGAGAGGAACACCAGCGGCGAAGGCGGCUCUCUGGAACGAUACUGACGCUCAGACCCGAAAGCGUGGGGAGCAAACAGGAUUAGAUACUCUGGUAGUCCACGCCGUAAACUAUGAGUACUAGAUGCAGUGGGUUUUAAAUCUGCUGUGUCGUAGCUAACGCGUUAAGUACUCCACCUGGGAAGUACGGUCGCAAGAUUAAAACUCAAAGGAAUUGACGGGGGCCCGCACAAGCGGUGGAGCAUGUGGUUUAAUUCGAAGCAACGCGAAAAACCUUACCUGGGCUUGACAUCCUCGGAACUGCCCGGAAACGGGUGGGUGCCCUUCGGGGAGCCGAGAGACAGGUGCUGCAUGGCUGUCGUCAGCUCGUGUCGUGAGAUGUUGGGUUAAGUCCCGCAACGAGCGCAACCCUUGCCUGUUGUUGCCAUCAUUCAGUUGGGCACUCUACAGGGACUGCCGGUGUUAAACCGGAGGAAGGUGGGGAUGACGUCAAGUCCUCAUGGCCUUUAUGCCCAGGGCUACACACGUGCUACAAUGGCCGGUACAAAGAGUUGCAAACUCGCGAGAGUAAGCUAAUCUCAAAAAGCCGGUCACAGUUCGGAUUGGUCUCUGCAACUCGAGACCAUGAAGUCGGAAUCGCUAGUAAUUGCGGAUCAGCAUGCCGCAGUGAAUACGUUCCCGGGCCUUGUACACACCGCCCGUCACACCACGAGAGAUGAUUGGACCAGAAGUCAUUGAGCGAACCGGCAACGGUAGCAGAUGCCGAAGUUCUGGUUGUUGAUUGGGGUGAAGUCGUAACAAGGUA
This 1514-nucleotide ribosomal RNA is filed under the name metagenome. RNAcentral describes it as "bacterial SSU rRNA". It matches the Rfam family "Bacterial small subunit ribosomal RNA". The record is from RNAcentral.